CCCUUGAGCUCUGGCACAAGACGGCACGUCUGGAAGCCAGGUAGUCCUCAUGGUGACAGUAAGAUCCCUCCAAGAAUCAUCGGAGUGGGGGUGGGGAGAUUCAUUACUGAAGCGUCUUGUUCCCCACGAUUCAUUUUGCUUUUAUUUGGCUUCACGCAGCUCAGCACGCCUGGACUCAAGGAGGUGUUGCUACCAUUCGAAUUGUUGGCUUUUCUCCGGGAUUCACUUCUCUUCUCUCCAGGGAUUACCAAGCCUUUGAAGGGACCCGCUUCUCAAGGCUCAGAGUGUUUGAUUAAAUUGCUCGUUCCAGGUGUGCGCUUGGCCACAAGAUGAUACUUGAGAGGCUUGACUUCAAGAUUAUGAUCACCGUUGCGGGUGGCCUCCUGAUGGCCGCGAGCCUGCUGAUGUGCUUUAUCAUCUGUCUUAGCUACAAAGUGACAAAGUCAAUGAAGGGAGAGAAGAUGGAAAAUGUAACGAGCAAUGAUGCUGACAAAAAAGAUAAGAAACCCGCUUUGGAAGCAGGUCAACCUGAGGUUCCGCCAACUCCAGCGUCAAAGCCCCGGUGACAGUCUUGGAGAGAGAUGCCCUGGGGACCCUCAGUCCAGACAGGUGGGGCCCCGGCGUCUCCCAGCCACCGUGCUGCCUUGGGAAGCACAGUCAGCCCGGCUACCUCCCGACUCUGUCCCUUCAGUGUCCACGGUCCCUCGAGGGUAGGAGCCGCCUCUCACCCCCGGGGUCCCCGCACACAGCCCAGACUCCUUAGGUGUCAGGGGUAAUAACCCCCCGUCGCCUUUGCACCAGAUAAACCUCUCAGACACAGCAGUAAAUCAUGAAUAGCAUUAAUUUUGCUGACUGGUAAGAGUAUGUUACGCAUUAGGAUGUUUAGUAAAAUAAUUUCCUGCUACUUUAUUUUCUGAAAACCCAUAUAUAUCACAAUGUCUUUAUUUUACCACCCAUUCGCAUUUAACAUAAUUGCAUAAGCAUUUAACAUAAUAGCUGGCAUGGGGCUAUUAUUUUAACUCAUUAAGUGAGUUACUAUACGU
This is a long non-coding RNA of Bos taurus (domestic cattle), 1043 nucleotides long. Lineage: Eukaryota; Metazoa; Chordata; Mammalia; Artiodactyla; Bovidae. The record is from Ensembl.